AAUUUUUGACAAUUGGGGAAACCCUGAGCCAGCCAUCCCGCGUGUACGAGGAAGGCCUUCGGGUUGUAAAGUACUUUUGGCAGAGAAGAAAAGGUAUCCCCUAAUACGGGAUACUGCUGACGGUAUCUGCAGAAUAAGCCCCGGCUAACUACUUGCCAGACGCCGCGGUAAUACGUAGGGUGCAAGCGUUAAUCGGAAUUACUGGGCGUAAAGCGUGUGUAGGCGGUUCGGAAAGAUAGGUGUGAAAGUCCAGGGCUCAAGCUUGGAACUGCAUUUUUAACUGCCGGGCUAGAGUAUGUCAGAGGGGGGUAGAAUUCCACGUGUAGCAGUGAAAUGCGUAGAUAUGUGGAGGAAUACCGAUGGCGAAGGCAGCCCCCUGGGAUAAUACUGACGCUCAGACACGAAAGCGUGGGGAGCAAACAGG
This 424-nucleotide ribosomal RNA is filed under the name uncultured bacterium. RNAcentral's name for it is "partial 16S ribosomal RNA". It matches the Rfam family "Bacterial small subunit ribosomal RNA", at positions 360 to 776 of the family's 1533-position model. The record is from RNAcentral.